RNAcentral lists this long non-coding RNA (593 nucleotides) under Nicotiana benthamiana. Its description in RNAcentral is "long non-coding RNA (NBEN_LNC032896)". The record is from RNAcentral. Lineage: Eukaryota; Viridiplantae; Streptophyta; Magnoliopsida; Solanales; Solanaceae.
GCGUAAUUCGGGGGUAUCCUUAGGUGUACCUAGGGUAUUAACCAGCCUCUGAAACGUGGAGACGGCGGUGUUUAUCUGGAAUAUUCCUGAGGCCACGGCUUGGGUCGGGUCUUGCUUCCCAUUCACAUAGCCACGAUGGGAGCCCAAUGAUCGACCCGAUUGUAGAUCUUGAAAGCUCAUCUCUUAGCCACGGCUUGGGACGGGUCUUGCUUCCCAUUCACAUAGCCACGACGGGAACCCAAUGAUCGACCCGAUUCUAGAUCUUGAAAGCUCAUCUCUUUCUCUUAUUUCUUCGAAUUGUGAUCAAAAUUCGCCUCAAAAUUCAGAAUCCAAAACUAAAGGUAAAUGUUUCAAAAGGAAAAAAACUGGAUUACAAUAGUAAUAUGAAAACCCUAGAAUUUGGGGUUUGGAGAAUUUUGUCCGGGAAAAUUAUAAGGUAGUAGUUAUUUGGACAGGUAAAAGGGGUGGAAAAUUGCGCCAAAAUUUGAGAAAUUGGGCGAAAAUGGAGGAAGGAAUUGGAGAAUAGAAUGGAGAUGUUAAUAUUUUAUCAUUUGAUGAGAGAACGAUGGGAUUGUGCGACACGUUCAAGUGGG